AUCCACCUUAGGGAAGCUGAGAUCAAUUCCUACUUUCUACAUUGAUUUUAUUUAUUUACUUAAGCCCUCAAAUUUUGUAAAUUUCACCUUCCUACAGCUAGGAAUUUGUAUCUGCAGGAGCACUUUCCUAACUUCUCUGUUAUCUAUUAAUCCUCAAUCCAUAUGGAGUACACAGUUGAGAUCGAGUUAUAGAUAGAGCAGGUUAUUUCGCUGGGAAGCCAGGCCAAGCCGAGUGCCCUUGCGGAUAAUAUAGCCAUCAAGACCGCAAUACUGCUAGCUAUCAAUGGCAGAAAGAGUUUUCAAGUGGAGCCCAUUUUAGUCGAAGCUUGUUCAAGAGAUUGAGUUCCCUUGGAAAAUUGAAGCAUCCACUCAAUGUGCAGUACAGAAUGCACCUUUCAAUAAGUUGCUUUCCAAAUCAGAUAUUUGACAGCGGCCAGAUCCAUGAUGGCUUGAAUGUAAAACAUGAGAGUUACACCAAGCAAUAUCUAUCGGACCAGAUUUCCGGUUCAUAUUCUUUCAUAAAUGUUUCUGAGGGAGG
Molecule: non-coding RNA, 538 nt
Organism: Punica granatum (pomegranate)
Lineage: Eukaryota; Viridiplantae; Streptophyta; Magnoliopsida; Myrtales; Lythraceae
Source: RefSeq, a predicted model, not a curated record